UCGUAAGGUUUGCUGGAGGUAUCAGAAGUGCGAAUGCUGACAUGAGUAACGACAAAGGGGGUGAAAAACCUCCUCGCCGGAAGACCAAGGGUUCCUGUCCAACGUUAAUCGGGGCAGGGUGAGUCGACCCCUAAGGUGAGGCCGAAAGGCGUAAUCGAUGGGAAACGGGUUAAUAUUCCCGUACUUCUGACUAUUGCGAUGGGGGGACGGAGAAGGCUAGGUGGGCCAGGCGACGGUUGUCCUGGUUCAAGUGCGUAGGCUUGAGAGUUAGGUAAAUCCGGCUCUCUCUAAGGCUGAGACACGACGUCGAGCUACUACGGUAGUGAAGUCAUUGAUGCCAUGCUUCCAGGAAAAGCCUCUAAGCUUCAGAUAGUCAGGAAUCGUACCCCAAACCGACACAGGUGGUCGGGUAGAGAAUACCAAGGCGCUUGAGAGAACUCGGGUGAAGGAACUAGGCAAAAUGGUACCGUAACUUCGGGAGAAGGUACGCUCUUGAUGGUGAAGUCCCUCGCGGAUGGAGCUGACGAGAGUCGCAGAUACCAGGUGGCUGCAACUGUUUAUUAAAAACACAGCACUGUGCAAAAUCGCAAGAUGACGUAUACGGUGUGACGCCUGCCCGGUGCCGGAAGGUUAAUUGAUGGGGUUAGCGCAAGCGAAGCUCUUGAUCGAAGCCCCGGUAAACGGCGGCCGUAACUAUAACGGUCCUAAGGUAGCGAAAUUCCUUGUCGGGUAAGUUCCGACCUGCACGAAUGGCGUAAUGAUGGCCACGCUGUCUCCACCCGAGACUCAGUGAAAUUGAAAUCGCUGUGAAGAUGCAGUGUACCCGCGGCUAGACGGAAAGACCCCGUGAACCUUUACUACAGCUUGGCACUGAACAUUGAACCUACAUGUGUAGGAUAGGUGGGAGGCUAUGAAGACGUGACGCCAGUUGCGUUGGAGCCGUCCUUGAAAUACCACCCUUGUAUGUUUGAUGUUCUAACUUAGACCCAUUAUCUGGGUUGAGGACAGUGCCUGGUGGGUAGUUUGACUGGGGCGGUCUCCUCCCAAAGAGUAACGGAGGAGCACGAAGGUGGGCUAAUCACGGUUGGACAUCGUGAGGUUAGUGCAAUGGCAUAAGCCCGCUUAACUGCGAGAAUGACGGUUCGAGCAGGUGCGAAAGCAGGUCAUAGUGAUCCGGUGGUUCUGUAUGGAAGGGCCAUCGCUCAACGGAUAAAAGGUACUCCGGGGAUAACAGGCUGAUACCGCCCAAGAGUUCAUAUCGACGGCGGUGUUUGGCACCUCGAUGUCGGCUCAUCACAUCCUGGGGCUGAAGUCGGUCCCAAGGGUAUGGCUGUUCGCCAUUUAAAGUGGUACGCGAGCUGGGUUUAGAACGUCGUGAGACAGUUCGGUCCCUAUCUGCCGUGGGCGUUGGAAGAUUGAAGGGGGCUGCUCCUAGUACGAGAGGACCGGAGUGGACGAACCUCUGGUGUUCGGGUUGUGUCGCCAGACGCAUUGCCCGGUAGCUAAGUUCGGAAUUGAUAAGCGCUGAAAGCAUCUAAGCGCGAAGCGAGCCCUGAGAUGAGUCUUCCCUGACAGUUUAACUGUCCUAAAGGGUUGUUCGAGACUAGAACGUUGAUAGGCAGGGUGUGUAAGCGUUGUGAGGCGUUGAGCUAACCUGUACUAAUUGCCCGUGAGGCUUAACCAUACAACACCCAAGGGGUUUUGUA
This 1706-nucleotide ribosomal RNA is filed under the name Vibrio cholerae. RNAcentral describes it as "partial 23S ribosomal RNA". It matches the Rfam family "Bacterial large subunit ribosomal RNA", at positions 1261 to 2925 of the family's 2925-position model. The record is from RNAcentral. Lineage: Bacteria; Pseudomonadati; Pseudomonadota; Gammaproteobacteria; Vibrionales; Vibrionaceae.